Daphnia carinata is the source of this 790-nucleotide long non-coding RNA. RefSeq lists it as uncharacterized. The transcript is spliced from 3 exons. NCBI's taxonomy places the organism in Eukaryota, Metazoa, Arthropoda, Branchiopoda, Diplostraca, Daphniidae. The record is from RefSeq and is a predicted model, not a curated record.
GGGAGCAGGAGGUGAUGGUCGUUGGCACGUAGCAGAAGACUUUAUUCUACCGGGCUGAUCCAAUCAACAGCCGCGGCCAUUGAUUUCUCGGCCCCGCGCUUGCGUCGUCCGUCUCAGUUCAGAAACUCUUCGUCCCAGACGAUUCUUAUCGGCACCACGACGCAUAGGGUCCUUGUCACCUUUUAUCCAAUGCCGGGCACGAUGGACUUUUUGCCCGUUAAGCGAAUGCAACUGUUGCUGCGUUGGUCCAGUGAGCACAAGCAAAUCGAAUAGACGCUGAUCAGUUGCAACGAGACGAGGAAAGAACAAGGUGUGAGCCCCGACACCAGGUGUAAGGAAGAAACGUUGAUGCACACGAAAAAAAAACAAGUGAAAAAGUCGGAGAUGGUGCGCUGAUUGAGCACGUUCUUACGCUAUGCGGAUAAACGGAGAGAUGAGGCAAAUGAAGUCGGCCAUCAGUUGAGAAAGGAGACGAAACGACACGACCACCUUCUACGAGUCUGGUACCACGACUGAAUUCGGUAGAGCUCACCUGGCCAACCACCACACACUAUCAUCACUCUGCUCUCUGCUCUCUUUUAUCCUUUUCUUUGAAUCCUACCCUUUCCCCUUGCCAUCUUCUUCCCUUUUCUGCCUCCCCUCUAGCGCCUUGACAGUGUGCGUGACGCAGCAGCCUCACAGACAUCGACGUCUUGGGCGAAACUAUACUUUUACACAGACACUGUCUAUAUGUGUGUCCGCUGCCUAUAUGUUCCGCUUCGAUGUGUGAAAUGUAAGUGCUGCUGGGAAC